Molecule: ribosomal RNA, 208 nt
Filed under: uncultured bacterium
Lineage: Bacteria
Description: partial 16S ribosomal RNA
Rfam family: Bacterial small subunit ribosomal RNA
Source: RNAcentral
CUCGUAGGUGGUUCGGUAAGUCGGAUGUGAAAUCUCCAGGCUCAACCUGGAGGGGUCAUUCGAUACUGCCGUGACUAGAGGUCGGUAGGGGAGUGUGGAAUUCCUGGUGGAGCGGUGAAAUGCGCAGAUAUCAGGAGGAACACCCGUAGCGAAGGCGGCACUCUGGGCCGAUACUGACACUGAGGAGCGAAAGCGUGGGGAGCGAACA